GAUUAGUGAGAUGUAUGGUUACUCAUUUGGUGCUGCAGAGUUGAAUCUGCGACAUGUCAUAAGUGACGAGAUUCUGAUAUACCCAGGAUAUGUUCCUAAGCCUGGUGUUAAUUAUAGAGUCUUCCACUAUGGCUUGGAAUAUAGGGUUGGUAAGUGGAGUUUUGACAAAGCAAACUGGAGACACACCGACUUGGUUAACAAAUGUUGGGCUAAGUUUCCUGAUCCUCCUGAUCCAUCAUCACUUGAUCAAACUGACAACAAUUCCCUACAGCGCGACUUGCUUAGCGUAGAAUGUGCAACAACGUUGAAUGAAGCUCUUCGGUUGCACCACGAGAGGAGAAAAUGCCCAGAUCCUAACACUAUUUCCACACCCAAACAUGACAGAGUAAAUCAGGACAGAGUCGAUGAAACUAGAACCAAUGCUGAAAC
This 429-nucleotide unclassified non-coding RNA is filed under the name Hevea brasiliensis (rubber tree). The record is from RNAcentral. Lineage: Eukaryota; Viridiplantae; Streptophyta; Magnoliopsida; Malpighiales; Euphorbiaceae.